UCGACCGUACUUUACAGGAUCAUGUAUAUAGUACGUUUCCCGUCUUUGUUUUCCAAAUAAGACACAUUUACUAAGUUGGUUGAGGAUGGGUAGCACCAGUUCAUAGCGGGAAGUGUUAAUUAUACUUGUUUAUUUAAAAGACGAGUAUUAUUAAUUUGAAGAACGUGCCUAUCAAGUUUUUCCGUUGGUAUGGCAAGAACUCGGUUGCCUUCUGACAACU
This 220-nucleotide small nucleolar RNA is filed under the name Neocallimastix californiae. RNAcentral's name for it is "Small nucleolar RNA U3". It matches the Rfam family "Small nucleolar RNA U3". From Rfam's summary of the family: Small nucleolar RNAs (snoRNAs) are involved in the processing and modification of rRNA in the nucleolus. There are two main classes of snoRNAs: the box C/D class, and the box H/ACA class. Lineage: Eukaryota; Fungi; Neocallimastigomycota; Neocallimastigomycetes; Neocallimastigales; Neocallimastigaceae. The record is from Rfam by way of RNAcentral.